GACGAACGCUGGCGGCGUGCUUAACACAUGCAAGUCGAACGGAAAGGCCCUGCUUUUGUGGGGUGCUCGAGUGGCGAACGGGUGAGUAACACGUGAGUAACCUGCCCUUGACUUUGGGAUAACUUCAGGAAACUGGGGCUAAUACCGGAUAGGAGCUCCUGCUGCAUGGUGGGGGUUGGAAAGUUUCGGCGGUUGGGGAUGGACUCGCGGCUUAUCAGCUUGUUGGUGGGGUAGUGGCUUACCAAGGCUUUGACGGGUAGCCGGCCUGAGAGGGUGACCGGCCACAUGGGGACUGAGGUACGGCCCAGAGUCCUACGGGAGGCAGCAGGGGGGAAUAUUGCACAAUGGGCGGAAGCCUGAUGCAGCAACGCCGCGUGCGGGAUGACGGCCUUCGGGUGGUAAACCGCUUUCGCCUGUGACGAAGCGUGAGUGACGGUAAUGGGUAAAGAAGCACCGGCUAACUACGUG
This 468-nucleotide ribosomal RNA is filed under the name uncultured bacterium. RNAcentral's name for it is "partial 16S ribosomal RNA". It matches the Rfam family "Bacterial small subunit ribosomal RNA", at positions 28 to 507 of the family's 1533-position model. The record is from RNAcentral.